Molecule: ribosomal RNA, 482 nt
Filed under: uncultured bacterium
Lineage: Bacteria
Description: partial 16S ribosomal RNA
Rfam family: Bacterial small subunit ribosomal RNA
Source: RNAcentral
AUUGAACGCUGGCGGCAUGCUUUACACAUGCAAGUCGAACGGUAACAGGCCGCAAGGUGCUGUCGAGUGGCGAACGGGUGAGUAAUGCAUCGGAACGUGCCCAGUCGUGGGGGAUAACUACUCGAAAGAGUAGCUAAUACCGCAUACGAUCUAUGGAUUAAAGCGGGGGACCGUAAGGCCUCGCGCGAUUGGAGCGGCCGAUGUCAGAUUAGGUAGUUGGUGGGGUAAAGGCUCACCAAGCCAACGAUCUGUAGCUGGUCUGAGAGGACGACCAGCCACACUGGGACUGAGACACGGCCCAGACUCCUACGGGAGGCAGCAGUGGGGAAUUUUGGACAAUGGGCGCAAGCCUGAUCCAGCAAUGCCGCGUGCAGGAAGAAGGCCUUCGGGUUGUAAACUGCUUUUGCACGGAACGAAACGGCUCUGGUUAAUACCCGGGGCUAAUGACGGUACCGUAAGAAUAAGCACCGGCUAACUACGUG